UUCGCCCUUAGAGUUUGAUCCUGGCUCAGGACGAACGCUGGCGGCGCGCCUAACACAUGCAAGUCGAACGAGAGAGAGGGAGCUUGCUUCCUCAAUCGAGUGGCGAACGGGUGAGUAACGCGUGAGGAACCUGCCUCAAAGAGGGGGAUAACAGUUGGAAACGGCUGUUAAUACCGCAUAAGCGCACAGCAUCGCAUGAUGCAGUGUGAAAAACUCCGGUGGUAUAAGAUGGACCCGCGUUGGAUUAGCUAGUUGGUGAGGUAACGGCCCACCAAGGCGACGAUCCAUAGCCGACCUGAGAGGGUGACCGGCCACAUUGGGACUGAGACACGGCCCAAACUCCUACGGGAGGCAGCAGUGGGGAAUAUUGGGCAAUGGGCGCAAGCCUGACCCAGCAACGCCGCGUGAAGGAAGAAGGCUUUCGGGUUGUAAACUUCUUUUAUGAGGGACGAAGGAAGUGACGGUACCUCAUGAAUAAGCUCCGGCUAACUACGUGCCAGCAGCCGCGGUAAUACGUAGGGAGCGAGCGUUAUCCGGAUUUACUGGGUGUAAAGGGCGUGUAGGCGGGGAAGCAAGUCAGAUGUGAAAACCAGUGGCUCAACCACUGGCCUGCAUUUGAAACUGUUUUUCUUGAGUGAUGGAGAGGCAGGCGGAAUUCCGUGUGUAGCGGUGAAAUGCGUAGAUAUACGGAGGAACACCAGUGGCGAAGGCGGCCUGCUGGACAUUAACUGACGCUGAGGCGCGAAAGCGUGGGGAGCAAACAGGAUUAGAUACCCUGGUAGUCCACACCGUAAACGAUGAUUACAAGGUGUUGGGAGAUUGACCCUCUCAGCGCCGCAGUUAACACAAAAAAUAAUUCCACAUGGGGAGUAUGACCUCAAGGUUGAAACUCAAAAGGAAUUGACGGGGGCCAGCACAAACAGUGGAAGUAUGUUAUAUAAUUAGAUGCAACGCGAAGAACCUUAACAAGUCUUGACAUCCCUUGACGAUGCUGGAAACAGUAUUUCUCUUCGGAGCAAGGAGACAGGAGGUGCAUGGUUGUAGUCAGCUCGUGUCGUGAGAUGUUGGGUUAAGUCCCGCAACGAGCGCAACCCUUAUGGUCAGUUACUACGCAAGAGGACUCUGGCCAGACUGCCGUUGACAAAACGGAGGAAGGUGGGGAUGACGUCAAAUCAUCAUGCCCUUUAUGACUUGGGCUACACACGUACUACAAUGGCGUUAAACAAAGAGAAGCAAGACCGCGAGGUGGAGCAAAACUCAGAAACAACGUCCCAGUUCGGACUGCAGGCUGCAACUCGCCUGCACGAAGUCGGAAUUGCUAGUAAUCGUGGAUCAGCAUGCCACGGUGAAUACGUUCCCGGGCCUUGUACACACCGCCCGUCA
Molecule: ribosomal RNA, 1383 nt
Filed under: uncultured bacterium
Lineage: Bacteria
Description: 16S ribosomal RNA
Rfam family: Bacterial small subunit ribosomal RNA
Source: RNAcentral